RNAcentral lists this small RNA (109 nucleotides) under Salmonella enterica. Its description in RNAcentral is "partial RtT sRNA". It matches the Rfam family "RtT RNA", at positions 17 to 130 of the family's 130-position model. From Rfam's summary of the family: This family represents a bacterial cis-regulatory element known as RtT RNA. The exact function of RtT is unknown although it is thought that it may be involved in changing the cellular response in relation to amino acid starvation. The record is from RNAcentral. RNAcentral also lists the same sequence under 8 other names. Lineage: Bacteria; Pseudomonadati; Pseudomonadota; Gammaproteobacteria; Enterobacterales; Enterobacteriaceae.
GAAGAUUCGAACCUGCCGCAGGUUCGGGUCUCACGUAGUGAGACAACGGAGCCGCUUGCGGCGACGGCCCGAAGGGCGAGCGAAGCGAGUCAUCCUGCACGACCCACCA